This 497-nucleotide ribosomal RNA is filed under the name uncultured Pseudonocardiaceae bacterium. RNAcentral's name for it is "bacterial SSU rRNA". It matches the Rfam family "Bacterial small subunit ribosomal RNA", at positions 9 to 507 of the family's 1533-position model. Lineage: Bacteria; Bacillati; Actinomycetota; Actinomycetes; Pseudonocardiales; Pseudonocardiaceae. The record is from RNAcentral.
GAGUUUGAGCCUGGCUCAGGACGACGCUGGCGGCGUGCUUAACACAUGCAAGUCGAACGCUGAAGCUCUGCCCUUGUGGUGGGGGUGGAUGAGUGGCGAACGGGUGAGUAACACGUGGGUAAUCUGCCCCAUACGUCUGGGAUAACCCCUGGAAACGGGGGCUAAUACCGGAUAGGACAUUCUGCCGCAUGGUGGGGUGUGGGAAAGUUCCGGCGGUAUGGGGAUGGGCCCGCGGCCUAUCAGCUUGUUGGUGGGGUAAUGGCCUACCAAGGCGACGACGGGUAGCCGGCCUGAGAGGGUGACCGGCCACACUGGGACUGAGACACGGCCCAGACUCCUACGGGAGGCAGCAGUGGGGAAUCUUGCGCAAUGGGCGAAAGCCUGACGCAGCAACGCCGCGUGGGGGAUGAAGGCCUUCGGGUUGUAAACCUCUUUCACCAUCGACGAAGCUCUUUGGGGUGACGGUAGGUGGGGAAGAAGCACCGGCUAACUACGUG